GGCUACAAUGGUUGAUAGGAUUAAUUUAAAAUUAUGAUUUAAAAUAAAUGUUAUGUAAUUUGAGCCAAAAUGUUCUAAAUGUGCCCCAGCUUGGACAGUUGCUUGGGGUCUCGGGAAUCGUAAACCUGCCACUGUUGCCUCCCUAGCCGUCUGUCUAGAUCACUUAUGCCAGGAUUCACCACUGCAUCUGGGAUGGCAUGAGGAGAUCUGGAUGAAUCAAGUCUUUGUUCUAAUUCUAAGACACUGAAGAGGAUUAUCUAUAUGAAGGUGAUCAGAGGCACAUUCGGCGCACAAGAGAGACCCCUAGUGUCGCUUCUUCGACACAACAUCGAAGUGAGCGACAGACGGGGAACCCUGUAUCCAAGUCCUCUCAUGCUUGAUCAGUUAGGUUUAUACAACUGCAAACUUUUUCAUCUAGCUCAAUAAGAUAUUAAAAUAUCCAAUAGCAGUGACAAAAAUGAACUCAUUCCUUUUUGUAUAAAACAAAAAUGAGCUCAUUCCUUUUUGUAUAGGGUUGCCACCCAUCC
Molecule: long non-coding RNA, 527 nt
Organism: Xyrauchen texanus (razorback sucker)
Lineage: Eukaryota; Metazoa; Chordata; Actinopteri; Cypriniformes; Catostomidae
Exons: 3
Source: RefSeq, a predicted model, not a curated record